GACAGAGGUGCCAAGCGUUAGGCGGAAUCACUGGGCUUAAAGCGUGCGCAGGCGGUUUGUUAAGUCCGCUGUGAAAUCCCCGAGCUCAACUUGGGAAUUGCAGUGGAUACUGGCAAGCUGGAGUAUGGUAGAGGAAGGUGGAAUUCCCGGUGUAGCAGUGAAAUGCGUAGAGAUCGGGAGGAACACCAGUGGCGAAGGCGGCCUUCUGGACCAAUACUGACGCUCAUGCACGAAAGCGUGGGGAGCAAACAGG
This 253-nucleotide ribosomal RNA is filed under the name uncultured bacterium. Its description in RNAcentral is "partial 16S ribosomal RNA". It matches the Rfam family "Bacterial small subunit ribosomal RNA", at positions 524 to 776 of the family's 1533-position model. The record is from RNAcentral.